CGGCCACAUUGGGACUGAGACACGGCCCAGACUCCUACGGGAGGCAGCAGUGGGGGAUAUUGCGCAAUGGGGGAAACCCUGACGCAGCAACGCCGCGUGAAGGAUGAAGGUCUUCGGAUUGUAAACUUCUUUUAUUAAGGACGAAGAAAGUGACGGUACUUAAUGAAUAAGCUCCGGCUAACUACGUGCCAGCAGCCGCGGUAAUACGUAGGGAGCAAGCGUUGUCCGGAUUUACUGGGUGUAAAGGGUGCGUAGGCGGCUUUGCAAGUCAGAUGUGAAAUCUAUGGGCUCAACCCAUAGCCUGCAUUUGAAACUGCAGAGCUUGAGUGAAGUAGAGGCAGGCGGAAUUCCCCGUGUAGCGGUGAAAUGCGUAGAGAUGGGGAGGAACACCAGUGGCGAAGGCGGCCUGCUGGGCUUUAACUGACGCUGAGGCACGAAAGCGUGGGUAGCAAACAGGAUUAGAUACCCUGGUAGUCCACGCUGUAAACGAUGAAUAGUAGGUGUGGGGGGUCUGACCCCUUCCGUGCCGGAG
RNAcentral lists this ribosomal RNA (532 nucleotides) under uncultured bacterium. RNAcentral's name for it is "bacterial SSU rRNA". It matches the Rfam family "Bacterial small subunit ribosomal RNA", at positions 305 to 851 of the family's 1533-position model. The record is from RNAcentral.